CUGAUAGAUAGUGUUCAGGUGCUCCAGAUAGACAGUGUUCAGGAGUGGCUGAUAGAUAGUGUUCAGGAGUGGCUGAUAGAUAGUGUUCAGGUGUGGCUGAUAGAUAGUGUUCAGGAGUGGCUGAUAGAUUGUGUUCAGGUGUGGCUGAUAGAUAGUGUUCAGGAGUGGCUGAUAGACAGCGUUCAGGAGUGGCUGAUAGAUAGUGUUCAGGUGUGGCUGAUAGAUAGUGUUCAGGUGUGGCUGAUAGAUAGUGUUCAGGUGUGGCUGAUAGAUAGUGUUCAGGUGUUCCAGAUUGACAGUGUUCAGGUGUUCCAGAUAGACAGUGUUCAGGAGUGGCUGAUAGAUAGUGUUCAGGUGUGGCUGAUAGAUAGUGUUCAGGUGUGGCUGAUAGAUAGUGUUCAGGUGUGGCUGAUAGAUAGUGUUCAGGAGUGGCUGAUAGAUAGUGUUCAGGUGUGGCUGAUAGAUAGUGUUCAGGAGUGGCUGAUAGAUAGUGU
This is a non-coding RNA of Salmo salar (Atlantic salmon), 494 nucleotides long. The record is from RefSeq and is a predicted model, not a curated record. Lineage: Eukaryota; Metazoa; Chordata; Actinopteri; Salmoniformes; Salmonidae.